UACGUAGGGGCAAGCGUUGGUCCGGAUUUAUUGGGCGUAAAGAGCUCGUAGGCGGUUCGCUAAGUCGGGUGUGAAAACUCGUGGGCUCAACUCAGAGACGCCACCCGAUACUGGCGUGACUCGAGUUCGGUAGGGGAGACUGGAAUUCCUGGUGUAGCGGUGAAAUGCGGCAGAUAUCAGGAGGAACACCGGUGGCGAAGGCGGGUCUCUGGGACGGUACUGACGCUGAGACGCGAAAGCGUGGGAGGCGAACAGG
Molecule: ribosomal RNA, 256 nt
Filed under: uncultured bacterium
Lineage: Bacteria
Description: partial 16S ribosomal RNA
Rfam family: Bacterial small subunit ribosomal RNA
Source: RNAcentral